This 1340-nucleotide ribosomal RNA is filed under the name uncultured bacterium. Its description in RNAcentral is "bacterial SSU rRNA". It matches the Rfam family "Bacterial small subunit ribosomal RNA", at positions 28 to 1387 of the family's 1533-position model. The record is from RNAcentral.
GACGACCCCUGGCGGCGCGCCUAACACAUGCAAGUCGAACGAGCGAGAGAGAGUUUACUUUUUCGAGCGAGUGGCGAACGGGUGAGUAACGCGUGAGGAACCUGCAUCAAAGAGGGGGGACAACAGUUGGAGACGACUGCUAAUACCGCAUAAGCCCACGACCCGGCAUCGGGUAGAGGGAAAAGGAGCAAUCCGCUUUGAGAUGGCCUCGCGUCCGAUUAGCUAGUUGGUGAGGUAAUGGCCCACCAAGGCGACGAUCGGUAGCCGGACUGAGAGGUUGAACGGCCACAUUGGGACUGAGACACGGCCCACACUCCUACGGGAGGCAGCAGUGGGGAAUAUUGCACAGUGGGGGAAACCCUGAUGCAGCGACGCCGCGUGGAGGAAGAAGGUCUUCGGAUUGUAAACUCCUGUUGUUGAGGAAGAUAAUGACGGUACUCAACAAGGAAGUGACGGCUAACUACGUGCCAGCAGCCGCGGUAAAACGUAGGUCACAAGCGUUGUCCGGAAUUACUGGGUGUAAAAGGGAGCGCAGGCGGGAAGACAAGUUGGAAGUGAAAUCCAUGGGCUCAACCCAUGAACUGCUUUCAAAACUGUUUUUCUUGAGUAGUGCAGAGGUAGGCGGAAUUCCCGGUGUAGCGGUGGAAUGCGUAGAUAUCGGGAGGAACACCAGUGGCGAAGGCGGCCUACUGGGCACCAACUGACGCUGAGGCUCGAAAGUGUGGGUAGCAAACAGGAUUAGAUACCCUGGUAGUCCACACUGUAAACGAUGAUUACUAGGUGUUGGAGGAUUGACCCCUUCAGUGCCGCAGUUAACACAAUAAGUAAUCCACCUGGGGAGUACGACCGCAAGGUUGGAACUCAAAGGAAUUGACGGGGGCCCGCACAAGCAGUGGAGUAUGUGGUUUAAUUCGACGCAACGCGAAGAACCUUACCAAGUCUUGACAUCCUGCGACGGUGCUGGAAACAGUGCUUUCCUUCGGGACGCAGAGACAGGUGGUGCAUGGUUGUCGUCAGCUCGUGUCGUGAGAUGUUGGGUUAAGUCCUGCAACGAGCGCAACCCUUAUGGUCAGUUACUACGCAAGAGGACUCUGGCCAGACUGCCGUUGACAAAACGGAGGAAGGUGGGGAUGACGUCAAAUCAUCAUGCCCUUUAUGACUUGGGCUACACACGUACUACAAUGGCGUUAAACAAAGAGAAGCAAGACCGCGAGGUGGAGCAAAACUCAGAAACAACGUCCCAGUUCGGACUGCAGGCUGCAACUCGCCUGCACGAAGUCGGAAUUGCUAGUAAUCGCGGAUCAGCAUGCCGCGGUGAAUACGUUCCCGGGCCUUGCACU